UCAUCUCCUGUCCUCUGCCCAUCUCCUGUUUUGUUUUUCUCUGCAUGGGUCAUACUUUCCAAUAAGCCAUGGCUACACCUGGUACCCUAGAAAGGUUUUAGUCAACGAAGUGUACCUAUUGCAGACAGACUCAGCAAGUCCUGGAAUGACCAGGAGGAACCACUUCAUCCCCUUAUGAAUGCAGUCUCAUCUUUUCAUUUGCAAUUAGCUGAUCGAGUCCUCAUUAGCAGGAGGACUAGUGUUACUCUUUUGAGGUCCAAGAACUGCCGGGACACAGUCCAAAGUGCACAGUCCUGCUUCCAAAUACAGGGCUGAGAGGGAACAAGAGCUUCUGAGCUGCCCAAUUAUGGGUUAAUGUGGGUAAGUCUCAUCCAAUCCUUUGAAGGCCUGAAGAACAAAGAGUGAGGUUUCUGGAAGAAGAAAAUUUUACCUCAAGCCUGCAAUGUAGAAAUUCUGCUUGAGUUUCCCGCCUGCUGGCCUGCCCUGUGGAAUUCGGAGUCAAGAAGGAGUCUUGUAAGCAUUAACUGAGAUAGUAUAUGAAGAGUGCUUUUGCACCGAGUGAACCUUCAAUCAACUGUACUAGUUUGUAUGCCUGGAAGAGCUGCUAUAUGGGAUCAGAAAGAAAAAUAAGGUGCAUACGCCAGAAAAAAAAUACUUGCAUAUGAGUACUAGGAGAUGCAUGACAAUGUUCACGGCAGCAGUAUUCAUGGCAGUGAAAAAUGAAAAGAACUGAAAUGCCCAUUGAUAAAAACGUCUACUUAUUUGUGUCAUCUUUGCACAGUGGAAUUGUGCGAGUGGAAAUGAUUGAUCUACAGCUAGGAGAAGCAGCAGAGCUCAAUCUCAAAAACAUAACGUUGUGUGGAAAAAGCUAACCUCAGAACACUUUGCGGCUCUAUCUUAGCAAACCAGGAGAGAAAUUCUCCUGAUGGCCUUGAAGAAGCAAACAGCCACCUGGUUAAGCCCCUGUGGAUAGUGCCAAGUGGCAGGAAAGUGGGAGCCACCUCUAGGACCUGAGGAUUAAAGUCAGUAAGAGCUGGGACCUCACUCAUGCAGACUCGAGGACAUGAAUUCGACCAACAACUUGAAUGAGCUUGGAAGUGGAUUCUUCCCUAGUCCAGUCUUCAGAAAUUAAGAAUGUUCCCAAAGAAUGAUGGAGACAUUUCAAAAGGAUACGGAAGCCAGAUUGUGGGCGCUUCUACUGGCCAACUCUGGGACAUCGUGGACAUCAAAAUAAAUUUGUAAUAAUAAAGGAUUAUAGCCUAUUAGUUAAAUCAGAAAAAUCUGAUUUAACUAAAUGAGUAGGAGGAAAAGAAAGCUCUUCCUUAUAUUAGAAAGUCAAUUAAUAAAUGCAGAAAGGAAUGAAAAAAUUAGAAAAGCCACCAUUUGGCAACCAUGGCAGGCAGAAUGGGGAGUAUGCCUCCAGACAGUAAUUCCUUUCAAACUGGUUUAUAGGAACUCACUGAGCUUGCUGAUCGACCUCUGAGAGGCAAAGUUUCUGAAUUAUGAAGUACUGAUUAUAUAAACUUAGACAGAGACAUGCUUCAUUAUUUAAUAGGACUGUGUCAAAAGCCUACUAUUAGGAUGAUGUGUUGGGUGUGGAACAGGGUCUCUUCCUGCCAGGAACACUGGUGAUUUCACUCCGUGUUCAGGCUGAUCUUUGAAGUUGAAGACAAGCAGAAGAAUCCUUCUAAAAUUUAGCCAUGCCCAUAGGCUGGGAGGGACACUGCUCCAUUCAGAGGCAGCAAAGCACAUUACUGUAUCUCCUAUAGAGCUUUGAGCAGUCCAGUGUACAUGGAGAAACUUAGUAAAUGUUGUUGAAUUAGUGAAUGAACAAAUCAAUGGACCAAGUCAGGGGUAAGUCUUACAUUUGUCAUCUAGGUGAUUAAGAAAGGAAAAAGUAUCUGUUUCAAGAGGAUUACAAUCUAACUGUACUCCAAUAGUAAAAUUUACUCUUUUGGAAUCUGA
RNAcentral lists this long non-coding RNA (1965 nucleotides) under Homo sapiens (human). RNAcentral describes it as "HSALNT0308968". Lineage: Eukaryota; Metazoa; Chordata; Mammalia; Primates; Hominidae. The record is from RNAcentral.